Molecule: transfer RNA, 21 nt
Filed under: Vidua macroura (Pin-tailed whydah)
Lineage: Eukaryota; Metazoa; Chordata; Aves; Passeriformes; Viduidae
Description: partial tRNA-Met
Source: RNAcentral
GUUCUACCCCUUCCCCUGCUA